UACAGAGGUCUCAAGCGUUGUUCGGAUUCAUUGGGCGUAAAGGGCGCGUAGGCUGCGGGGCAAGUCGGGUGUGAAAUCUCAGAGCUCAACUCUGAAACUGCACUCGAUACUGCUUUGCUCGAGGACUGGAGAGGAGAUUGGAAUUCACGGUGUAGCAGUGAAAUGCGUAGAUAUCGUGAGGAAGACCAGUGGCGAAGGCGGGUCUCUGGACAGUUCCUGACGCUGAGGCGCGAAGGCCAGGGGAGCAAACGGG
This 253-nucleotide ribosomal RNA is filed under the name uncultured bacterium. RNAcentral's name for it is "partial 16S ribosomal RNA". It matches the Rfam family "Bacterial small subunit ribosomal RNA", at positions 524 to 776 of the family's 1533-position model. The record is from RNAcentral.